GACGAACGCUGGCGGCGUCCCUAAUACAUGCAAGUCGAGCGAAGUUUUUCUGGUGCUUGCACUAGAAAAACUUAGCGGCGAACGGGUGAGUAACACGUAAAGAACCUGCCUCAUAGACUGGGACAACUAUUGGAAACGAUAGCUAAUACCGGAUAACAGUAUUUCUCGCAUGAGAGAUAUUUAAAAGUUGGUUAUGCUAACACUAUGAGAUGGCUUUGCGGUGCAUUAGCUAGUUGGUGGGGUAAAGGCCCACCAAGGCGACGAUGCAUAGCCGACCUGAGAGGGUGAUCGGCCACACUGGGACUGAGACACGGCCCAGACUCCUACGGGAGGCAGCAGUAGGGAAUCUUCCGCAAUGGGCGAAAGCCUGACGGAGCAACGCCGCGUGAGUGAAGAAGGAUUUCGGUUCGUAAAGCUCUGUUGUUAGGGAAGAAUGGAUAUGUAGUAACUAUACAUGUAAGAGACGGUACCUAACCAGAAAGCCACGGCUAACUACGUG
RNAcentral lists this ribosomal RNA (499 nucleotides) under uncultured bacterium. RNAcentral's name for it is "partial 16S ribosomal RNA". It matches the Rfam family "Bacterial small subunit ribosomal RNA", at positions 28 to 507 of the family's 1533-position model. The record is from RNAcentral.